RNAcentral lists this ribosomal RNA (253 nucleotides) under uncultured bacterium. RNAcentral describes it as "partial 16S ribosomal RNA". It matches the Rfam family "Bacterial small subunit ribosomal RNA", at positions 524 to 776 of the family's 1533-position model. The record is from RNAcentral.
UACGUAGGGCGCAAGCGUUGUCCGGAAUUAUUGGGCGUAAAGAGCUCGUAGGCGGCUUGUCACGUCGAUUGUGAAAGCCCGAGGCUUAACCUCGGGUCUGCAGUCGAUACGGGCUAGCUAGAGUGUGGUAGGGGAGAUCGGAAUUCCUGGUGUAGCGGUGAAAUGCGCAGAUAUCAGGAGGAACACCGGUGGCGAAGGCGGUUCUCUGGGCAUUACCUGACGCUGAGGAGCGAAAGUGUGGGGAGCGAACAGG